Molecule: non-coding RNA, 2835 nt
Organism: Cyanistes caeruleus (blue tit)
Lineage: Eukaryota; Metazoa; Chordata; Aves; Passeriformes; Paridae
Source: RefSeq, a predicted model, not a curated record
UGGGGACUCCAAAUAGGUCCUGACACCACCUGCCACUGGUGACGCUGACUGACAGGUGUCUGUGCAUUUCGUGUUUCUGAACAGGCCUUUGGCAUUAUCUCCACAGCUAACAGUGAUGAGCACCUGAUAAUCUUGUAUUAUCCAAGCUGUGCUUGUGUAUGGAGGAACAUGAGACCAUAUAGUGCCUGAGAAGAAAGCAAAUUACUGGAAAACUAUUAUUAGAUGGGUGCACUAAGGCUGCUGGCACAAUGAAAGAAGCGAAAAUAGGAAGGGAGAUUGAGGGGACCACACAAGUGAGUGUGAGAUCAGGACAUGCAGGAAGUCUGAAGGAUGAAGAAUCUGGCAUGAUAAUGACUGAAGUAUUGACUAAAAGCCCAAAGUCUUUAUUGAAAUCAGGACCUCCUGACUUGGGUUUCCCUGGUUGCUUUGGGAAGGGAAUUCCACAGCUAGUCUGCUUGAGCACUGCCUGGCAGAGUGGCCUGAUUGACUUCCUGGACUCAUAGUACAAGUAAACAAAGAAUUUGAUGACAAAGGUGGGUUUUUUUUAAGUUUGGAGUUACCCAAACCUCCUCAGAUGUCCUCAGAUGCUCCAUGCAGUUGCAGUGUGAUGUUGGAGGUGUGGAUGUGCCAUAGCCGGGCACACUUUCAAGUUCUCCAAGUUCCUGAAGUCCUGUCUGAAAAUCAACCUAUGCAUUGUGCUGCCUCAGGGUCCCAAAGAUACAGAAUCCUGCAACUUCUGACUUCGUGUCCCUCUGGCAUGAUGCAGCUUGCCCCCCCUCCUGAGCUGUAGAGUUUUCAGAGAGGACAGAGAAUGGUUCAACCAGAUUUACCCAAAGUAUCUUCUGGACCACAGCAGCUCUAGGAAAUGAAAGUUGCAGUUUCACUGUGGGUGUUGCAAAAUGAAACAAAAAAAAAUGAAAUGAAAGUGAAACCUUAAAAAGUCUGAUAAAAAAAAAAUAAGUAGCUACUAUUAGAGGAAUUCUUGAGUUCUUGAAUCUGGAUCCUCCCUUUUCCUAUUUCAGUAAAUGUUUAAAGCAAUUUAACUUAGUAGUUACUCAUAAUUUACAUUCAAUGAAAACUAAACUUAGAACAGGCUGAUUUGCUGAAAAUUAUUAUGGCCCACAACCUGCUAAAGUACUUUUCUACCCCCAUUUAACCCAGGCACAGCAGUCUGCUUCAAAAUUAACAUGUAAACAACCCUGUCCCUUUAACCACUAUCAUCUUCACUUCCAGAAAAACAAACUUUAUCAGGCAAAUUCAGAUGCAGAUUGCAUUUGCUCAAGCCAGUCCUCGUUAUCACUAAAGCCCAGAACUGUCCCCCAGUUCUGCAAAUGUGGACACCCAGGCACCUCACACAUUUUGGUAGAAUUUUUUUUUUUUUUUCUUAUCCACAUCCUCUUUUUAUUCCUAAGGACAAAAGCUCAUGCAUAGUUUAUUUCUGAUUUGUUUUUAACCUGAGACACCAUUUUUUAGCAGUUGACAAUGAGACUCUGUGUCUUGGUAGCUGAAUAAACGAACUUCAGUCUAUUCAGUCUUGGGACGAUGAAAACUUUUGGCAUAGAAUUUUUGUAGCACAACUACUAUGUUUGCUUCAUAUUAUCUGGUUCCUUUAUCCUGGAAAAUCCUGAGUGGCCUCUGCCAACAGGGAAUGAAGAACCUUUAUUCAAGAAGGGCUCUCUUGCCCAUGUGUGGUUUUAGCACCAUGGACAGAAUAAAUUGCGGGUAAUUGGUAAAGAUUAAAACAAAAUUUAGAAUAAAAGGUACCCUCCAAAAUUUAUGUGGAAUAAAUAUCAUGCAAGACUAGGAAUAUUCAUGCACACAGCAUGGGAAAAAACAUUCAUGCUGUUGAACCCAUCUGUCCUUCAGUUAUGGCACAUCAGAACCAUAGAGAAACUCUGAGGUUGAAAAAGACCUUCAUGAUCAUCAGGUCCAGCCAUCAACCCAGCACCACCUUGUUCAUCACCAAGCCAUGUCCCCAAGUGCCACUGCCACACCUUCUUUGACCAUUUUGACCACUUGUACCUCCUUACCCAGCAGCCAGAUUUCUCAGCUCUUCUUGGCCUGUAUUGUCCAAAAUCCUCACCUGUCUGACAGACAUGGUUACAACCGGCACAAAAGCAAGAUUAACAUGAAGAAACUAAAAAUGAAAACAUCUGAUGGGUAAAAUAUCAUCAUGGACUCGUGGUCAUUUGGGUCUGACGCCCAAUGAGAAAGAUCAGCAGGAAGAGCAUUUGAAAGCACUGCUAUUGAAAUUGCCUUAGGCUGAAAUUGGAGAUUCAGAUUAGAUAUCAGAAAAUAAAAUAUCAUGGUUAGGAGAGUCAGGCAUUGGAACAGUGGUCCAAGGAGGUGGUGGUCACUAUCCCUGGAGAUGUUCAAGAGGCAUUUGGAUCUGGUGCUGGGUGAUGUAGUUUAGGGGUCACAGUGGUACUGUUGGGUUGGCAGUUGAAUUUUAUUAUCCUUAAGGUCCCUUCCAACCUGGAUGAUUUUAUGGUUCUAUAUUUAACUAUUGAAAAAACACAUGGAUUUGGCACAGGUACAGGCCGUUCAUCAGGCUCUGCAUGACUAAGCUUAUGUGAGCAUCCAGCUCACAGCACAAUUCGCGUCCCAGCGUGUUGCGAGGGCCAGCACACCAGGCAUUUUUUAUUUUUUAUUGUUUCUGUCGGCAGCAGCACACGGGGCAGGCAGGGCAGCCCCGGCGGGGCGUGAGCAGGGCGGGGCAGGGCGACCGCCCCGGGGCUGGCGCUCCUUGAGGGACAAAGCCGAGCCGGGGGCUGAUGUCGGCUACUAUCUUAACCGCCCCGGGCGGCGGCUCAGGAGCCAAAGGUGCCCCCUCGG